RNAcentral lists this ribosomal RNA (569 nucleotides) under uncultured Dehalococcoides sp. RNAcentral describes it as "bacterial SSU rRNA". It matches the Rfam family "Bacterial small subunit ribosomal RNA", at positions 105 to 691 of the family's 1533-position model. Lineage: Bacteria; Bacillati; Chloroflexota; Dehalococcoidia; Dehalococcoidales; Dehalococcoidaceae. The record is from RNAcentral.
GGUGAGUAACGCGUAAGUAACCUACCUCUAAGUGGGGGAUAGCUUCGGGAAACUGAAGGUAAUACCGCAUGUGAUGGGCUGACAUAAGUCGGUUCAUUAAAGCCGCAAGGUGCUUGGUGAGGGGCUUGCGUCCGAUUAGCUAGUUGGUGGGGUAAUGGCCUACCAAGGCUUCGAUCGGUAGCUGGUCUGAGAGGAUGAUCAGCCACACUGGGACUGAGACACGGCCCAGACUCCUACGGGAGGCAGCAGCAAGGAAUCUUGGGCAAUGGGCGAAAGCCUGACCCAGCAACGCCGCGUGAGGGAUGAAGGCUUUCGGGUUGUAAACCUCUUUUCACAGGGAAGAAUAAUGACGGUACCUGUGGAAUAAGCUUCGGCUAACUACGUGCCAGCAGCCGCGGUAAUACGUAGGAAGCAAGCGUUAUCCGGAUUUAUUGGGCGUAAAGUGAGCGUAGGUGGUCUUUCAAGUUGGAUGUGAAAUUUCCCGGCUUAACCGGGACGUGUCAUUCAAUACUGUUGGACUAGAGUACAGCAGGAGAAAACGGAAUUCCCGGUGUAGUGGUAAAAUGCGU